Molecule: long non-coding RNA, 371 nt
Filed under: Ixodes scapularis (black-legged tick)
Lineage: Eukaryota; Metazoa; Arthropoda; Arachnida; Ixodida; Ixodidae
Description: uncharacterized LOC120849357
Source: RNAcentral
UAUUUUUCUUUUUCCGGCAUGGUUUCGCGUUUCGCCAUUUUUGCGACCGUUAGGUGUUUCGCCGUUUCGCGGUAUGGAAAUGCCUUUAGAAAUGGAAAUGUGCUAAUUUAACAAGGUUUAUCUAUCUGUGAAGUUUUCUCUUGUGAUGAUUAUGUUCAAGAAGAGCGCGGAAGGCCGACGACGCAACAGAACGAGCAGCUCAGCGCAGUUGUGUGGUUGCACCUGUGUGGGCGAGGUAAAUCCACUAUGAAAAGACCCUGAAGUGACGCCUUCAGGAUGCCGAAAAUAAUUAUGACUACAUGUGCUCCCAGUACAAGGGGGUGGCCCUCCAGGCGCUGACGACCAGCAUGUCAUCUCUGCUGUGCUGUCGA